RNAcentral lists this ribosomal RNA (399 nucleotides) under uncultured bacterium. RNAcentral describes it as "partial 16S ribosomal RNA". It matches the Rfam family "Bacterial small subunit ribosomal RNA", at positions 360 to 774 of the family's 1533-position model. The record is from RNAcentral.
AAUAUUGCACAAUGGAGGGAACUCUGAUGCAGCAACGCCGCGUUAGUGCAGAAGGUUUUCGGAUCGUAAAACUCUGUCAUUGGGGAAGAAUAAAUGACGUUACCCAAUGAGGAAGCCCCUGCUAACUACUUGCCAGCAGCCGCGGUAAUACGUAGGUGGCUAGCGUUGUCCGGAAUUACUGCGCGUAAAGGGUACGUAGGCGGAUAUAUAAUUCAGGUGUGAAAUACCAGUGCUUAACACUGGAAUUGCAUUUGAAACUGUGUAGCUUGAGUGCAGGAGAGGAAAGUAGAAUUCCUAGUGUAGCGGUGAAAUGCGUAGAGAUUAGGAGGAACACCAGUGGCGAAGGCGACUUUCUGGACUGUAACUGACGCUGAGGUACGAAAGCGUGGGUAGCGAACA